This 138-nucleotide ribosomal RNA is filed under the name uncultured eukaryote. Its description in RNAcentral is "partial 18S ribosomal RNA". It matches the Rfam family "Eukaryotic small subunit ribosomal RNA", at positions 1299 to 1458 of the family's 1831-position model. The record is from RNAcentral.
UGGUGGAGUGAUUUGUCUGGUUAAUUCCGAUAACGAACGAGACCUUAACCUGCUAAAUAGCCAGGCCGGCUUUUGCUGGUCGCAGGCUUCUUAGAGGGACUGUCAGCGUCUAGCUGACGGAAGUUUGAGGCAAUAACA